ACGAACGCUGGCGGCGUGCUUAACACAUGCGAGUCGAACGGUGAAGCGCCUUCCUUUUUGGUGGGUGUGGAUGAGUGGCGAACGGGUGAGUAACACGUGAGUAACCUGCCCCCUUCUUCUGGAUAACCGCAUGAAAGUGUGGCUAAUACGGGAUAUUCUGGGUCUGUCGCAUGAUGGGUCUGGGAAAGAUAUUGUUUCGGUGGGGGAUGGGCUCGCGGCCUAUCAGCUUGUUGGUGGGGUGAUGGCCUACCAAGGCGGUGACGGGUAGCCGGCCUGAGAGGGUGGACGGUCACACUGGGACUGAGACACGGCCCAGACUCCUACGAGAGGCAGCAGUGGGGAAUAUUGCACAAUGGGCGCAAGCCUGAUGCAGCGACGCCGCGUGAGGGAUGGAGGCCUUCGGGUUGUGAACCUCUUUCGCCAGUGAAGCAGGCCUGCCUCGUUUGUGGGUGGGUUGACGGUAGCUGGAUAAGAAGCGCCGGCUAACUACGUG
Molecule: ribosomal RNA, 493 nt
Filed under: uncultured bacterium
Lineage: Bacteria
Description: partial 16S ribosomal RNA
Rfam family: Bacterial small subunit ribosomal RNA
Source: RNAcentral